RNAcentral lists this ribosomal RNA (245 nucleotides) under uncultured Actinomycetes bacterium. RNAcentral describes it as "uncultured actinobacterium partial 16S ribosomal RNA". It matches the Rfam family "Bacterial small subunit ribosomal RNA", at positions 28 to 276 of the family's 1533-position model. Lineage: Bacteria; Bacillati; Actinomycetota; Actinomycetes. The record is from RNAcentral.
GAUGAACGCUGGCGGCGUGCUUAACACAUGCAAGUCGAACGGAAAGGCCAGUGCUUGCACUGGUGCUCGAGUGGCGAACGGGUGAGUAACACGUGAGUGAUCUGCCCUGCACUUUGGGAUAAGCCUGGGAAACUGGGUCUAAUACCGGAUAGGACCAUGCUUUAGAUGGUGUGGUGGAAAGUUUUUCGGGUGGAUGAGCUUGCGGCCUAUCAGCUUGUUGGUGGGGUAAUGGCCUACCAAGGCGU